GGCAGCCUGGGUGAGGCGGCGCUGGGGAGUUUGGCGCUUCCGUUCGGGAGUUUGGCUCUGCCGGUUGUCG
This 70-nucleotide transfer RNA is filed under the name Rhodococcus (subgen. Prescottella) equi. Its description in RNAcentral is "Rhodococcus hoagii tRNA-Pro". Lineage: Bacteria; Bacillati; Actinomycetota; Actinomycetes; Mycobacteriales; Nocardiaceae. The record is from RNAcentral.